Pelobates cultripes (western spadefoot toad) is the source of this 243-nucleotide non-coding RNA. NCBI's taxonomy places the organism in Eukaryota, Metazoa, Chordata, Amphibia, Anura, Pelobatidae. The record is from the annotation of a GenBank genome assembly.
CUGGCCUUUUGUCCAGGAGAUCAUCGGCUUCUGCGCAGUGAGUCCCGGAUUGUUCCGUCUAUGAGUGAACCCAGGUCCAGAAAUUAACAGGUAAGAUUGAUACCGUUAGAGCGGUAGACCCACAAGGGGUUUUAUAUUUGGAACCGGUUAUUGGUAUUGGCCCCUUCAUUGGAAGGAAGAAGCGAAAGCGCAACGCUUAUCUGGAAAUUAGACGCUCUGUAGUCAGCCCGUCUAAUAUAGGUG